Molecule: ribosomal RNA, 497 nt
Filed under: uncultured bacterium
Lineage: Bacteria
Description: partial 16S ribosomal RNA
Rfam family: Bacterial small subunit ribosomal RNA
Source: RNAcentral
GAUGAACGCUGGCGGCGUGCCUAAUACAUGCAAGUAGAACGCUGAAGGAAGGAGCUUGCUCUUUCCGGAUGAGUUGCGAACGGGUGAGUAACGCGUAGGUAACCUGCCUGGUAGCGGGGGAUAACUAUUGGAAACGAUAGCUAAUACCGCAUAACAGUAGAUGUUGCAUGAUAUCUACUUAAAAGGUGCAAUUGCACCACUACCAGAUGGACCUGCGUUGUAUUAGCUAGUUGGUGAGGUAACGGCUCACCAAGGCGACGAUACAUAGCCGACCUGAGAGGGUGAUCGGCCCCACUGGGACUGAGACACGGCCCAGACUCCUACGGGAGGCAGCAGUAGGGAAUCUUCGGCAAUGGACGGAAGUCUGACCGAGCAACGCCGCGUGAGUGAAGAAGGUUUUCGGAUCGUAAAGCUCUGUUGUAAGAGAAGAACGAGUGUGAGAGUGGAAAGUUCACACUGUGACGGUAUCUGACCAGAAAGGGACGGCUAACUACGUG